CAACAACGGAUCUCUUGGUUCUGGCAUCGAUGAAGAACGCAGCGAAAUGCGAUAAGUAAUGUGAAUUGCAGAAUUCAGUGAAUCNAUCGAAUCUUUGAACGCACAUUGCGCCCAUUAGUAUUCUAGUGGGCAUGCCUGUUCGAGCGUCAUUUCAACCCUUAAGCCUAGCUUAGUGUUGGGAAUCUACUUCUCUUAGGAGUUGUAGUUCCUGAAAUACAACGGCGGAUUUGUAGUAUCCUCUGAGCGUAGUAAUUNNUUUUCUCGCUUUUGUUAGGUGCUAUAACUCCCAGCCGCUAAACCCCCAAUUUUUUGUGGUUGACCUCGGAUCAGGUAGGAAUACCCGCUGAACUUAAGCAUAUCANAUAAGCGGAGGAA
This 375-nucleotide ribosomal RNA is filed under the name Neopestalotiopsis clavispora. RNAcentral describes it as "eukaryotic LSU rRNA". The stretch from base 1 to 149 matches the Rfam family "5.8S ribosomal RNA". The record is from RNAcentral. Lineage: Eukaryota; Fungi; Ascomycota; Sordariomycetes; Amphisphaeriales; Sporocadaceae.